AACGAACGCUGGCGGCAGGCUUAACACAUGCAAGUCGAACGCCCCGCAAGGGGAGUGGCGCACGGGUGCGAAAGGCGUGGGAACAUGCCCUUAGGUGCGGAACAACGUCGGGAAAAUGACGCUAAUACCGCCUAAUAUCUCCGGAUCAAAGAUUAAACGCCUAAGGAUUGGCCCGCAUUAGAUUAGGUAGUUGGUGGGGUAAUGGCCUACCAAGCCGACGAUCUAUAGCUGGUCUGAGAGGAUGACCAGCCACACUGGAACUGAGACACGGUCCAGACUCCUACGGGAGGCAGCAGUGAGGAAUAUUGGACAAUGGGGGAAACCCUGAUCCAGCCAUGCCGCGUGAGUGAUGAAGGCCUUAGGGUUGUAAAGCUCUUUUAGAUGGGAAGAUCAUGCCUGUACCAUCAGAAUAAGCCCCGGCUAAAUUCGUGCCAGCCGCCGCCGUAA
This 447-nucleotide ribosomal RNA is filed under the name uncultured bacterium. Its description in RNAcentral is "partial 16S ribosomal RNA". It matches the Rfam family "Bacterial small subunit ribosomal RNA", at positions 29 to 523 of the family's 1533-position model. The record is from RNAcentral.